UCAAGUAAUGUGACCUUACUGUAAAUAUAGACAAAGAUUAAUACUUGUGGGGUAUUAGGUGAGCAUUCUAUUAGCUUUGGAAGCUCAUGAAGAACCUACAGAUAUGU
This is a small nucleolar RNA of Eutrema salsugineum, 107 nucleotides long. The record is from Rfam. Lineage: Eukaryota; Viridiplantae; Streptophyta; Magnoliopsida; Brassicales; Brassicaceae.